This 463-nucleotide ribosomal RNA is filed under the name uncultured bacterium. Its description in RNAcentral is "partial 16S ribosomal RNA". It matches the Rfam family "Bacterial small subunit ribosomal RNA", at positions 30 to 507 of the family's 1533-position model. The record is from RNAcentral.
CGAACGCUGGCGGCGUGCUUAACACAUGCAAGUCGAACGGUAAGGCCCCUUCGGGGGUACACGAGUGGCGAACGGGUGAGUAACACGUGAGCAACCUGCCCUUGACUCUGGAAUAACAGUUGGAAACAGCUGCUAAUACUGGAUAUUCAUCGUCUCCUUCCUGGGGGGUGGUGGAAAGCUCCGGCGGUCAGGGAUGGGCUCGCGGCCUAUCAGCUUGUUGGUGAGGUAAUGGCUCACCAAGGCUUCGACGGGUAGCCGGCCUGAGAGGGCGACCGGCCACACUGGGACUGAGAUACGGCCCAGACUCCUACGGGAGGCAGCAGUGGGGAAUAUUGCACAAUGGGCGCAAGCCUGAUGCAGCAACGCCGCGUGCGGGAUGACGGCCUUCGGGUUGUAAACCGCUUUCAGUAGGGACGAAGGGUGACUGACGGUACCUACAGAAGAAGGACCGGCUAACUACGUG